Mya arenaria is the source of this 508-nucleotide long non-coding RNA. RefSeq lists it as uncharacterized. The record is from RefSeq and is a predicted model, not a curated record. The transcript is spliced from 3 exons. NCBI's taxonomy places the organism in Eukaryota, Metazoa, Mollusca, Bivalvia, Myida, Myidae.
AAUGGAGUUAAACCAAUGAAAAUCCACCUUUCAUCAUGACGCGGAAAUUACAUCAUUGUAUGUUUCUGUGAAUAGACGCUUGCAUGUAGGGGAAAUAACUGUUUUGUUUAUAAUUUCAUCGUCUUUUAUUCUUAUUUUCUUUUGAAGUUUAAGAAACCAGAUUGGAAAUUUUUAUUCAGAAAUGCAAUCCACACAUUUAAGCACCGUUUGUCUAACGUACCAGCCAGCUAUGGUAGCCUCCGCAGAUAGAUCAAAGACACAUAUACCCGGGCAAGUUAAAUAGAAGCACUUCCGGCGGUGGACAGUCGUAAAACAACACCUUAACUACUAAGAAGUGACAUCACGCCGAUAGCAAUAAGGCUACGUCUACUUGAUUUGACUUACAGUGUCACUUGACCUCCUUGUAAGGGGCUCCGAUAAGUACGCAGAAGCAGACGAUAAUAAUACAAAGGUUAUACUUAACAAUCAGAUUAAAAAAAUGCAUGGGACAUGUUAAAACAUAGCAAUA